AAUACAAUAUAAAUUUUAAUUAAAACUUAUACCUUUAACAGGGCGUAGAUUCUCGUAGCAUUCAUAAUACUAUGAAUUCGUAAUUUGACAGUUGCAUGUAUAAAAUCUCAUCAGAACUGUCAAGCUACGAAUUCUUAAAGUUACGAAUGUUACGAGAAUCGGCGCCCAGAUGUGUCUGAACAGUACAAUAGUAGCGCAGCCUGAGUAAACGGUUGCAAAACAGGAAAAACGCUAGUGAAUCCAGCUCGAGACUCAAAAUUCAGAGUCUCUGUCUUUGUUAUACUUACCGAAAUUAACAUAGGCCUUGAAGUCAACUCACAGAAAGAGUAAUCUCGUCCCAACUGAUGCCUAAUUUCGUUCACGAUUUUUGUAGCACACCACAGAAAUACUUCUCUCUUUGGGCAAUCCUUUCGUGCAGCGAUCUUGCAUUCGACACCCUCAAUCUAAGACACAAUUCUUCCAAUCAAUGGCCGGAUAUCUCAAAUUCGAGCGCCAAUAGCUUAGACUACACUGACUUUAUCAAUGCUUAAAUUGAUCCAGACAAUUAGUGGGACACAACAUAACAACCGACAAUAAAGUUUGUUGUUAGACGAGCACAAUGACGGCGAAUCGAAGUGAAAUUCGUAAAUAAAAUUGAAUGAACCAAACCGUUAAUUUGUAUUUCGAUAAUAUCAAAUCUGUCUGGAACAGGUCAUAAUUCACUACUAACUCUUCUUAUUCUUCUUGUUCUAGUUCAGUAUUACAAAGGUUUCUGUUUUGUUUGUCUUCUUGUAAAUUUAGAAAUUCAAUUUUAUUUAUCGCACUCAACACUCACUGGAGAUUACAAACCAAACUGGCCACUAAAUUAGCCCCCCAAAAAACAAAACUGUUUAUCGUAAGUAAACAAAGUCGAUAAAAUAUCACAUUUAGUACUUCCGUUCGAAUCGUCUCGUCCCAUUUUUUGAAUCUCUCGAUGACAUUUUAAUUUCGGUAAAAAUCAAAUCGAACAAAAUAAACAAUUC
Long non-coding RNA from Bradysia coprophila, 1001 nucleotides. The record is from RefSeq and is a predicted model, not a curated record. NCBI's taxonomy places the organism in Eukaryota, Metazoa, Arthropoda, Insecta, Diptera, Sciaridae.